GCUGGAGUCACCUCUCAACUGCACGGCGAUAAGUCCCUGUCACAGGUAUAUUAACGGGACCCUGGAUGGCGCCGCCUGUAAGGAUACCGACACCUGCUGCUCCCUUCUCGCCGGCGGUUCCACUACGUCAUACCAAGUGAGAUACAUAAAUAGGUGAGUUAGAUGUUACGCAGAUUAAUGAGAAUUUAUUAAUUGCAGAUCAAAACAACGGAAACGGGAUGCAAAGCUUACCGGAGCUUUGUGGAUCUUAACCAAACGGCUCCGGUGGAGGAGUGGAUGGAGAAGGAAGGAGUGGAAAUUCAAUGGGCGUCACCUAAGGAGCCUCUAUGUGAAACGCAGGUGGAGUGUGAUACUAAUUCCACAUGUAUCUCUGAUGU
This 377-nucleotide long non-coding RNA is filed under the name Zostera marina. Its description in RNAcentral is "long non-coding RNA (ZMAR_LNC001527)". The record is from RNAcentral. Lineage: Eukaryota; Viridiplantae; Streptophyta; Magnoliopsida; Alismatales; Zosteraceae.